UACAGAAAAAGAGAGAACCCCUAGUCAAAUGCUCUGCUGUUAAGAACUCCCUGGAGGGACGCACACUUGCCACAGUGGACCAGCAGGAGCUAGCUUGGUCAGACACUUCCUUGUCGAACUACUCAGAUGACAGAGCAAGCUGCUUCUCUGGCUCCUGUGUCUACAGAAGAAGAGCAGUGACAUUGAUCCCUGGGUACCUGAGAAUCCCUGGAGAGACCUCAGACCUAAAACAUCAGAAGACUCUUGAGAAGCCGUGACUGGCCAUUCCCUCUUCUUCAGGGCUUCUUGCAUAGUUUCCUCUUUGCUAAAGAAAAAGCAUUUUCUAGAGAACAUUAUGCUGCUCAGCUGCUGUCUGCUCCACCUCCUCUCUCCUUCUGAGACCUGGUAACAUGUCUGUUAGACUCCUGGCAUUGACAUACUGGUAAGUUUGGAUUGAUCUGUUUUUAUCCUGAGUUCCUAUCCAUGUAUUUUCAAAUGUGCCCAUCCUUCAGCAUUGCCCAUUGUGUCUUAAGUCUCUUCAGUGUGUUUUAUAAUUUCAGUUGUUAAGUUUUAUCUAGAGAUUCUCCUGAUUCCUUCUCAAUUGCUGUUCUCCAUACUCUUCAUUGUUGACUCUCAAGUUUCAUUUUCUCCUGUAUUUUUCCUCAAAUGCACAAAAAUUUGUAUGUCUUGUUCCCAGUUCCAGUUCUAGAGAUUGAAAACCAUUUUGUCGGUGUUUUUUCCUCAUGGUGACCCCCACCUUCCUUUGUAUGUCUCAUGUUUUCUAAUGGUGUUAGAAACACUACCUACGGAUGCAUAUUAGGUAUGAAACACACCCAUGUUUUAUCUUACAUUUACUUGUUCUUGGAGACUGUGAGCUCUUUUCUGGGUCUAAUCAAUAAGAGGAAGAAAUGGCUACUCAGGUAUUACCGAAAGCCAUGCUGAAGGAAGGCUGCACACAUUCUUGCCUUGUCAAGAGUAGGCACAGCUGUUCUGGGGCCAGCCUCAGCAGUCCUCGCCUGCCCUGAAGCUGCAGUGGAGGGACUCUCUGCACCAAGACCGGGCUCAGCACUGAUGGGUGCAUCAACUCACUUCAGAUGCAUGUCUGACCCAGGAGGCUGGAUUCAGGCCCUCAAUUCCAAGAUAAGAUAGACAGCAAAUUCUACUUCUCAACUCCCACGUCACCGCCUUUUAAAAAAAUAUAUAAAAUUGGUGUUGUACCAAGGAUAAUUUUCAAAAUAAACAAGUUAUUAUUUCCCUUGGUGAUUUUCCAGCCCGCACCGCCCCGAACGUGUCCAAAGCCGCUAAUAGCCUGGAUGAGCUCACCCUGACCUCGGAGAGUCUACUCCUGCUGACAUGCUUUCUUCUCCAGCUCCCAUGACUGAGAGGCCCGGGUUUUGUCCCCAGGAGAGUCCAUGGCAUCUGAAGGCCUCCUUCUCCUCUUCUUCCUCCUCAUGUAGCUCAGGCUGGGUUCAAAUUCACUAUACAGCCAAAGGUGACCUUGAAUUUCUGACCCUUGC
Peromyscus maniculatus bairdii (prairie deer mouse) is the source of this 1496-nucleotide non-coding RNA. NCBI's taxonomy places the organism in Eukaryota, Metazoa, Chordata, Mammalia, Rodentia, Cricetidae. The record is from RefSeq and is a predicted model, not a curated record.